This 216-nucleotide ribosomal RNA is filed under the name Glomeromycotina sp. RNAcentral's name for it is "partial small subunit ribosomal RNA". The stretch from base 40 to 216 matches the Rfam family "Eukaryotic small subunit ribosomal RNA", at positions 686 to 864 of the family's 1831-position model. Lineage: Eukaryota; Fungi; Glomeromycota. The record is from RNAcentral.
GGGUCAGUAGGUUGGUCGUGCCACCGGUACGUACUGGUCUCACUGAUUCCUCCUUCCUGAAGAACCGUAAUGCCAUUAAUUUGGUGUUGCGGGGGAACAGGACUGUUACUUUGAAAAAAUUAGAGUGUAUAAAGCAAGCUAACGCUUGAAUACAUUAGCAUGGAAUAAUGAAAUAGGACGAUCGAUCCUAUUUUGUUGGUUUCUAGGAUUGACGUA